AUGCCGCUCGGUAGCGUGGAGUCACACCUCUUCUCACGGGUGAUGGCGCCCCUGGCGUGGGCGACGAGGAUGAAGAUCACGCUGGGCGUGGUGAGGGGCCUGGCUUUCCUCCAUGAGGCCGAGAAGCCCGUCAUCUACCGCGAUUUCAAGACCUCCAACAUCCUCCUCGACCAUGACUUCAACGCCAAGCUCUCCGACUUCGGCCUCGCCAAGGAUGGCCCCGUCGGCGACAUAUCCCACGUCUCCACCCGCAUCAUGGGCACCUACGGUUACGCCGCCCCAGAGUACAUCAUGACAGCGAUUAGGGCACCUGACGGCGAUGAGCGACGUGUACAGCUACGGGGUGGUGCUGUUGGAGCUGGUUACGGGGCGCAAGUCACUGGACAAGUGUUGGCCGAUGCGGGAGCAGACGCUGGCGGACUGGGCGUUGCCGAUGCUGAUGCACAAGAAGUAGGUGUUGGGGAUCCUAGACCCAAGGCUCGGCUCCGACGACUACCCCGUCAGGUCCGUGCAGAAGGCGGCCAUGCUCGCGUACCACUGCCUCAGCAGCAACCCCAAGGCGCGGCCGCUCAUGCGCGACAUCGUCGCCUCCCUCGAGCCGCUGCAGCAACUGGAGCUCGUGCCCGCCAACUUGUGAUCCUCAUUUCAAGUUUUAGUCCAGGCCUUGCUGGUGUUGUCAGAUCCAUCGCCUCUACUUCAGCUCAUAGAAGCAGACUAGAAUUCAUGUGA
RNAcentral lists this ribosomal RNA (729 nucleotides) under Triticum aestivum (bread wheat). RNAcentral describes it as "partial small subunit ribosomal RNA". The record is from RNAcentral. Lineage: Eukaryota; Viridiplantae; Streptophyta; Magnoliopsida; Poales; Poaceae.